RNAcentral lists this ribosomal RNA (494 nucleotides) under uncultured bacterium. RNAcentral describes it as "partial 16S ribosomal RNA". It matches the Rfam family "Bacterial small subunit ribosomal RNA", at positions 28 to 507 of the family's 1533-position model. The record is from RNAcentral.
GACGAACGCUGGCGGCGUGCUUAACACAUGCAAGUCGAACGGUGAAGCGCCUUCCUUUUUGGUGGGUGUGGAUGAGUGGCGAACGGGUGAGUAACACGUGAGUAACCUGCCCCCUUCUUCUGGAUAACCGCAUGAAAGUGUGGCUAAUACGGGAUAUUCUGGGUCUGUCGCAUGAUGGGUCUGGGAAAGAUAUUGUUUCGGGGGGGGAUGGGCUCGCGGCCUAUCAGCUUGUUGGUGGGGUGAUGGCCUACCAAGGCGGUGACGGGUAGCCGGCCUGAGAGGGUGGACGGUCACACUGGGACUGAGACACGGCCCAGACUCCUACGGGAGGCAGCAGUGGGGAAUAUUGCACAAUGGGCGCAAGCCUGAUGCAGCGACGCCGCGUGAGGGAUGGAGGCCUUCGGGUUGUGAACCUCUUUCGCCAGUGAAGCAGGCCUGCCUCGUUUGUGGGUGGGUUGACGGUAGCUGGAUAAGAAGCGCCGGCUAACUACGUG